Molecule: ribosomal RNA, 484 nt
Filed under: uncultured bacterium
Lineage: Bacteria
Description: partial 16S ribosomal RNA
Rfam family: Bacterial small subunit ribosomal RNA
Source: RNAcentral
AUUGAACGCUGGCGGCAGGCCUAACACAUGCAAGUCGAGCGGAUGAAGGGAGCUUGCUCCUGGAUUCAGCGGCGGACGGGUGAGUAAUGCCUAGGAAUCUGCCUGGUAGUGGGGGAUAACGUCCGGAAACGGGCGCUAAUACCGCAUACGUCCUGAGGGAGAAAGUGGGGGAUCUUCGGACCUCACGCUAUCAGAUGAGCCUAGGUCGGAUUAGCUAGUUGGUGGGGUAAAGGCCUACCAAGGCGACGAUCCGUAACUGGUCUGAGAGGAUGAUCAGUCACACUGGAACUGAGACACGGUCCAGACUCCUACGGGAGGCAGUAGUGGGGAAUAUUGGACAAAGGGCGAAAGCCUGAUCCAGCCAUGCCGCGUGUGUGAAGAAGGUCUUCGGAUUGUAAAGCACUUUAAGUUGGGAGGAAGGGCAGUAAGUUAAUACCUUGCUGUUUUGACGUUACCAACAGAAUAAGCACCGGCUAACUUCGUG